RNAcentral lists this ribosomal RNA (253 nucleotides) under uncultured bacterium. Its description in RNAcentral is "partial 16S ribosomal RNA". It matches the Rfam family "Bacterial small subunit ribosomal RNA", at positions 524 to 776 of the family's 1533-position model. The record is from RNAcentral.
UACGAAGGGGGCUAGCGUUGCUCGGAAUGACUGGGCGUAAAGGGCGCGUAGGCGGAUGACACAGUCAGAUGUGAAAUUCCCGGGCUUAACCUGGGGGCUGCAUUUGAUACGUGUUGUCUAGAGUGAGGAAGAGGGUUGUGGAAUUCCCAGUGUAGAGGUGAAAUUCGUAGAUAUUGGGAAGAACACCGGUGGCGAAGGCGGCAACCUGGUCCUUGACUGACGCUGAGGAGCGAAAGCCAGGGGAGCAAACGGG